GACGAACGCUGGCGGCGUGCUUAACACAUGCAAGUCGAACGCUGAAGCUCAGCUUUUGUUGGGUGGAUGAGUGGCGAACGGGUGAGUAACUCGUGAGUAACCUGCCUCCUUCUUUGGGAUAACGCCCGGAAACGGGUGCUAAUACUGGAUAUUCACUGGUCUUCGCAUGGGGGUUGGUGGAAAGGGUUUUUCUGGUGGGGGAUGGGCUCGCGGCCUAUCAGCUUGUUGGUGGGGUGAUGGCCUACCAAGGCUUUGACGGGUAGCCGGCCUGAGAGGGUGACCGGUCACAUUGGGACUGAGAUACGGCCCAGACUCCUACGGGAGGCAGCAGUGGGGAAUAUUGCACAAUGGGCGCAAGCCUGAUGCAGCGACGCCGCGUGAGGGAUGGAGGCCUUCGGGUUGUGAACCUCUUUCGCUCAUGGUCAAGCCGCAACAAUGGUUGUGGUGAGGGUAGUGGGGAAAGAAGCGCCGGCUAACUACGU
This 482-nucleotide ribosomal RNA is filed under the name uncultured bacterium. RNAcentral's name for it is "partial 16S ribosomal RNA". It matches the Rfam family "Bacterial small subunit ribosomal RNA", at positions 28 to 506 of the family's 1533-position model. The record is from RNAcentral.